Molecule: long non-coding RNA, 516 nt
Filed under: Mustela putorius furo (domestic ferret)
Lineage: Eukaryota; Metazoa; Chordata; Mammalia; Carnivora; Mustelidae
Description: lncRNA (ENSMPUG00000028764.1)
Source: RNAcentral
CUAAAAUCUCACCGUGGCAAGUGAAGGGAAGAAGUGGAUUUCACAUUUAAGUCUGUUCGGCUACUAGUUUUUACAGCAGUUCUCGCAAGUCUUAUCAUCCCCAUUUCACAGAUGGAGAGACUGAAACCCCAAAGGACGACUGGCCCAGGUCACAAAGCUCCCGACUGAAGCAACAACAGGAUUUCAGUUCACAUCUGUUUGACCCCAGAGACAGUGCUUCAAAGCUAAGUCUCUCUACAACUGUCCAUGCUAUACACAAACUGUGAGAACCAUGGGAUACUGUUUUCUACCUAUCGUGAUGAAAAAGAUCCAGUGAAAAAUAUCCAGUACUGGUGAGUGCACGUCUGUGGUUGAAAUGGGUAUUCUUGCACUGCGGAUAGGAGGGCAAAUUGACUCAGACUUUCUAAAGGCACAUUUUAUACUGUGAGCUAAAAACUUGAAAAUGUACCUGUUUUUUCCUUUUUUUUGAGAGAGAGAGAGAAUCUUAAGCAAGUUCCCUGGCCAGUUGGAGCCCAA